This 484-nucleotide ribosomal RNA is filed under the name uncultured bacterium. RNAcentral describes it as "partial 16S ribosomal RNA". It matches the Rfam family "Bacterial small subunit ribosomal RNA", at positions 30 to 507 of the family's 1533-position model. The record is from RNAcentral.
AUUGAACGCUGGCGGCAGGCCUAACACAUGCAAGUCGAGCGGAUGAAGGGAGCUUGCUCCUGGAUUCAGCGGCGGACGGGUGAGUAAUGCCUAGGAAUCUGCCUGGUAGUGGGGGAUAACGUCCGGAAACGGGCGCUAAUACCGCAUACGUCCUGAGGGAGAAAGUGGGGGAUCUUCGGACCUCACGCUAUCAGAUGAGCCUAGGUCGGAUUAGCUAGUUGGUGGGGUAAAGGCCUACCAAGGCGACGAUCCGUAACUGGUCUGAGAGGAUGAUCAGUCACACUGGAACUGAGACACGGUCCAGACUCCUACUGGAGGCAGCAGUGGGGAAUAUUGGACAAUGGGCGAAAGCCUGAUCCAGCCAUGCCGCGUGUGUGAAGAAGGUCGUCUGAUUGUAAAGCACUUUAAGUUGGGAGGAAGGGCAGUAAGUUAAUACCUUGCUGUUUUGACGUUACCAACAGAAUAAGCACCGGCUAACUUCGUG